This 450-nucleotide ribosomal RNA is filed under the name uncultured bacterium. Its description in RNAcentral is "partial 16S ribosomal RNA". It matches the Rfam family "Bacterial small subunit ribosomal RNA", at positions 338 to 795 of the family's 1533-position model. The record is from RNAcentral.
CCUACGGGGGGCUGCAGUGAGGAAUAUUGGUCAAUGGACGGAAGUCUGAACCAGCCAUGCCGCGUGAAGGAUGAAGGCGUUCUGCGUUGUAAACUUCUUUUAUCAGGGAAGAAACCACAGAUUUCUAUUUGUGUUGACGGUACCUGAGGAAUAAGCACCGGCUAACUCCGUGCCAGCAGCCGCGGUAAUACGGAGGGUGCAGGCGUUAUCCGGAUUUACUGGGGUUAAGGGGUGUGUAGGCGGGCAUGUAGAAAUCUCCGAGCUCAACUCGGAAACUGCCUUGGAUACUAUUUGUCUUGAAUUAUGUUGAGGUAGGCGGAAUAUAACAUGUAGCGGUGAAAUGCAUAGAUAUGUUAUAGAACACCGAUUGCGAAGGCAGCUUACUAAACAUAUAUUGACGCUGAGGCACGAAAGCGUGGGGAUCAAACAGGAUUAGAUACCCUAGUAGUC